Molecule: long non-coding RNA, 628 nt
Organism: Brienomyrus brachyistius
Lineage: Eukaryota; Metazoa; Chordata; Actinopteri; Osteoglossiformes; Mormyridae
Exons: 3
Source: RefSeq, a predicted model, not a curated record
CGAGUGUGAAUCAACUGAUGACAAGAUGCAACCAGAAGGGAACAGGAAGUGCUCAACAGGAAGUGACAACACGGCUUACCACCCAGUCUUCUCACACAGUACUUGUGGCUGAAAUUCUCAUUGCCACGCACGGCCCAUCUGCGGCCCAGCAGAAGCUUCGGCAGCUGCGAGCCGGGCCUCCCCCAGCGGCCUCCUAAUGGAUUAUCCUCACAGGACUAUGAAACCCAGUGGCUCCAGGAAUCUGGUACUUGGGCUCACCAUCAGGUUCUGCAGCUGGCGCACCCCCCUCCCCCCACCCCAAGGGGCUGACAUGAAGCUCUCUCAAACUGCAGCUUCUGCUUCCAGAGACUCACAGGCCUGGGCCAUUCAGUGGCUCGUCAGAGCGCACUAUCUGAUAUAGAGAACAUGCAGCUCCUGCCGCUCAUACCGUUAUCCGACGCUGCAGAUAAUUGGGGUGCUCUGUAAUGCGCCGGCAUGACAUCCGCAACCACACCGCAUUCGUUUGGAGUGGCAGGGGUGUGCACUGUAAGUGGGCCAGUGCAAUAAGUAGGACCUGAUCAUUUUGCCUUCCCAAAGGGCGUGUCACUUGUAUUCAUACCAGCAGGAGCUGCCAUAAUUAACACUAGUA